CCCGCCCCGCCAGUGCCCGCGGGGGGAGGAACUUCCGGUCACGCGGGGGCCACGGCGCGGAGCCGGGAAGCGCGGGUUGGAGGGGGCUGCCCAGCUGAGCCUCCGGCCGAGCGAGGACGGGGCGUGUGGGGAGGGGACCGGAGUGCCCUCGACACUCGUGGGGCGCCCACGACCUCGCCCCGCUCCAGGACACCUCGGUGACCUCGAGGUCCCGCCGCGACGACCAUCGCCUUCCCGGAACCCCGGCCCAACUUCGUUCAUCAAGGGGUGCCCGCUGAGGACCCGGACCCGCGCUGGGCCCUCUCCGAGCGUCCACGGGGCCUGCCCUGGACCCCAAGACGGUGGAGGGAGGCGACGACCCCUGUGGUCGGGAGAAGGCUGUAUGGGGAGCAUGACUGGAAUGCAGUGGCUCGAGGAAAUAUAUAAUCAUGGUGGAAGAUGAAGAAGGAGCCAGCACUUCACAUGGCCGCAGCAGGAGGAAUGAGAGGGGAGGGGUGCCACACACUUGUAAACAACUAGCUCUCACAAGAACUCGCUCUCAUGACAGCUCCAAGGGGGAUGGUGUUAAACAAUGAGAAACCACCCCCAUGAUCCAAUCACCUCCCACUAGGCCCCACCUCCAACACUGGGGAUUACAAUUGAACAUGAGAAGCCCGGCGCGGUGGCUCACACCUGUAAUCCCAGCACUUUAGGAGGCCGAGGCAGGUGGAUCACCUGAGGUCGGGAGUUUGAGUCCAGCCUAGCUAACCUGGUGAAUUCACGUCUCUACUAAAAAUACAAAAAUUAGCCAGGCACAGUGGCAGGUGCCUAUAAUCCCAACUACUCAGGAGGCUGAGGCAGGAGAAUCUCUUGAACCCAGGAAGUGGAGGUUGUAGUGAGCUGAGAUUGCACCCUUGCACUCCAGCCUGGGCGACAGAGUGAGACUCCAUCUCAAAAAAAAUAAAAAUAAAUAACAAUUGAACAUG
Non-coding RNA from Callithrix jacchus (white-tufted-ear marmoset), 965 nucleotides. Lineage: Eukaryota; Metazoa; Chordata; Mammalia; Primates; Cebidae. The record is from RefSeq and is a predicted model, not a curated record.